CAGUCGCCACGGUAACACGUAGGGAGCAAGCGUUGUUCGGAUUUACUGGGCGUAAAGGGCGCGUAGGCGGCGCGGUAAGUCACUUGUGAAAUCUCCGAGCUUAACUCAGAACGGCCAGGUGAUACUGCUGUGCUAGAGUGCGGAAGAGGCAACCGGAAUUCUUGGUGUAGCGGUGAAAUGCGUAGAUAUCAAGAGGAACACUUGAGGCGAAGGCGGGUUACUGGGCCGACACUGACGCUGAUGCGCGAAAGCCAGGGGAGCAAACGGGAUUAGAUACCCCUGUAGUCCCUGUCUCUUAUAC
Molecule: ribosomal RNA, 301 nt
Filed under: uncultured bacterium
Lineage: Bacteria
Description: partial 16S ribosomal RNA
Rfam family: Bacterial small subunit ribosomal RNA
Source: RNAcentral